This 90-nucleotide non-coding RNA is filed under the name Secundilactobacillus oryzae. Its description in RNAcentral is "Lactobacillus oryzae TPP sequence". It matches the Rfam family "TPP riboswitch aptamer (THI element)". From Rfam's summary of the family: Vitamin B(1) in its active form thiamin pyrophosphate (TPP) is an essential coenzyme that is synthesised by coupling of pyrimidine and thiazole moieties in bacteria. The previously detected thiamin-regulatory element, thi box was extended, resulting in a new, highly conserved RNA secondary structure, the THI element, which is widely distributed in eubacteria and also occurs in some archaea. Analysis of operon structures identified a large number of new candidate thiamin-regulated genes, mostly transporters, in various prokaryotic organisms. The record is from RNAcentral. Lineage: Bacteria; Bacillati; Bacillota; Bacilli; Lactobacillales; Lactobacillaceae.
UAAAUAUAUCUGGGGUGCCAUUUGGCUGAGAUAACACCCAUUGAACCUGCUCUGGUUAAGACCAGCGAAGGGAGAUAAUGACCGGUUUAC